Molecule: ribosomal RNA, 305 nt
Filed under: uncultured bacterium
Lineage: Bacteria
Description: partial 16S ribosomal RNA
Rfam family: Bacterial small subunit ribosomal RNA
Source: RNAcentral
ACAGCAGUCGCCGCGGUAAUACGUAGGUGGCGAGCGUUGUCCGGAAUUAUUGGGCGUAAAGGGAGCGCAGGCGGACAUAUAAGUCCAUCUUAAAAGUGCGGGGCUCAACCCCGUGAGGGGAUGGAAACUGUAUGCCUUGAGUGCAGGAGAGGAAAGCGGAAUUCCCAGUGUAGCGGUGAAAUGCGUAGAUAUUGGGAGGAACACCAGUGGCGAAGGCGGCUUUCUGGACUGUAACUGACGCUGAGGCUCGAAAGCCAGGGGAGCGAACGGGAUUAGAUACCCCUGUAGUCCCUGUCUCUUAUACA